GAACAAUUAAUUGCUCUUUCAAGAGACUUAGUUGUGAGUGGUGCAGCAAGAUGGGUGGAAGCAAGCUUCCUUUUCUUUUUUCUUUUCUUCCUUCCUUUCUUAAUGGGGAAAGAUUUAAAUGUGUUCAUAGUCCUGGGAGAAGGUGCCUGGGGAGAGAGAGGUUGAAGGAGAAGAAAAGCAAGGGGAGUGUUUCUGAAGAAAUAGAAAAGGACUGAGAACCAGACACUGAUGGGGGCUUGCAUUUGGAAACAAGGAAAAUAAACAAGGGUGGAGUUGUAGAACCAUUUUGUAUUAUAUUUCUCAUAACCCUGGUAUCUGAACUCUCUGUGAUCUGACUUUGCUGCCUGUAGACUUUUCUAUGAAUUGAUUUUAGUGUCUUGUUCCUCGUGUAUUAUGUGAUUUUUUUUUAAAGCUGUAAACCGUUUACUUUCCUUGGAAAUUUGUGGGAAUUCUUUAAGUCCUUUGUUGAGAUUUUAUUCCUGCAGAGAGGAUUUUCUUUGCCUUCUGCAAAUCAUCUCCAGGCAGUACCACAGUGUUAAUUCAGACAACAAAUCCAUUUGAAGGCUGGCUUGUGGUUACAAGGUCUCAGGGGAGAUUUUCCCCACUCCAACACCAAGAUCAAAACAUAUACAUUUCUUCGUCCUCUUUCGCACAAUGGGUUUAUUUCUUAUCUACUCUUCCCUUGAGGGUGUAUCCUUUGGGAGGAGGUACCAGGUUUGGGUGCGGUCUCCUAAUACACUGUCUAUGUUAGUGGCAUUUGAGGCUUUACUUCACAAACCCCAAGCCGUUGCAGCUGUCGAAACAGAAACCCAGGGCAAAAGGUGGCUUUGGUGCCUGCUUACUUCGAGUUCUGGCUUUCAUUUCAUUUUGGCCUUUGUAGAUUCUCUUCCUUUUGUGCUAGCCCAGCAAUGUGGUUUUAUUUUUACAUUCUUACAUAUUUUAUCCAGUGUCUUAGUUUCAGUCGAGAAGGUAGUUCAGGAUAUCAAAUCUGCCCUACUGCUAGAAAAGGAAGCCUGGUGUGCCUGCUAUCAUAACUUUGGUGUUGAUAAGCAAACAUGAACAGGUUUUGACUGCUGGGUUUACAGCAUACGAACCUUGUUGCUAUGCAGCUGUUGUUGGAAAAUAGUCUGUGGGCUCAGAGUUUCUAAACCAACCGUUUAUUGGAUGCCCAGAGAAGGAAGGAAAGCGAGGGCCCUGGCUUGCUGAUUACAAACCAUCUCCAUGGUCACAGGUUGCUGGGUGCUCCUUUUACAAUGUUUUCCCAGCAGCAUUCAGGCAGCAGUAGCUUCCUUUGAUCAUUUUUCAGUUUCUGUUAUUUGCUAAUGAGAGAAAGUUUAUACCUGCUUGUGGGGACAUGAGUGAAGAAAGAGAAGGGACUUUGAAACAGGAGAAGAGAGCAAACUCAAAAGGUUUUUCAUGGUGGCAUGUGACAGGGUGAUGCUGAAAAAUUUAUAUGGAAAUUCAAAGGAUCAAGAAUAGCUGAAACAUCAUUGAAGAACAAGUCCUUUAGGAAUUUCUGGAGAGGUAACCUGGAGUCUCCCCAAGCUUCCUGCAGCCCAACCCACCAACCCACCAACCUGGCUGAUGCAUAUGUGGAAUAUCAGCUUCCUGUUCUUUGAAGGGCAAAAAGGACACCGAAGUAUAGCCUACGGGCUCUGCGGCCCAAAGCUCAUUAAGAAGAUAGUAGAUUUAGGCCAGGCGCAGUGGCUCA
Macaca mulatta (Rhesus monkey) is the source of this 1711-nucleotide non-coding RNA. The record is from RefSeq and is a predicted model, not a curated record. Lineage: Eukaryota; Metazoa; Chordata; Mammalia; Primates; Cercopithecidae.